CCCCUCUCAAGGUCAUGCCUGGGGAGUUUCCAGUCCUCUACCAGUCUUGGCUACGGGAGGGAGAGUCAAGCAGAGGCCUGUCCAUUCCAUUCCUAGCUAGGGCAGUGGUUAGCAAGUGGAAGGCAAUCUGCUAUAGUC
Small nucleolar RNA from Tachyglossus aculeatus (Australian echidna), 138 nucleotides. NCBI's taxonomy places the organism in Eukaryota, Metazoa, Chordata, Mammalia, Monotremata, Tachyglossidae. The record is from RefSeq and is a predicted model, not a curated record.